ACUCAAAUGAAUUGACGGGGGCCCGCACAAGCGGUGGAGCAUGUGGUUCAAUUCGACGCAACGCGAAGAACCUUACCUGGGUUGGAACCCCCUGGAAGUCUUCAGAGAUGGAGAUGUGCCCGCAAGGGAACCAGGUGUCCAGGUGCUGCAUGGCUGUCGUCAGCUCGUGUCGUGAGAUGUUGGGUUAAGUCCCGCAACGAGCGCAACCCUUGUCGUUAGUUGCCAGCGGUUCGGCCGGGCACUCUAACGAGACUGCCGGUGUUAAACCGGAGGAAGGUGGGGAUGACGUCAAGUCCUCAUGGCCCUUAUGCCCAGGGCUACACACGUGCUACAAUGGCCGGUACAAAGGGUUGCAAGCCCGCGAGGGUGAGCCAAUCCCAAAAAACCGGCCUCAGUUCAGAUUGAAGUCUGCAACUCGACUUCAUGAAGUCGGAAUCGCUAGUAAUCCCUGAUCAGCAGGCAGGGGUGAAUACGUUCCCGGGCCUUGUACACACCGCCCGU
Molecule: ribosomal RNA, 501 nt
Filed under: uncultured bacterium
Lineage: Bacteria
Description: partial 16S ribosomal RNA
Rfam family: Bacterial small subunit ribosomal RNA
Source: RNAcentral